Molecule: ribosomal RNA, 563 nt
Filed under: uncultured Glomeromycotina
Lineage: Eukaryota; Fungi; Glomeromycota
Description: SSU rRNA
Rfam family: Eukaryotic small subunit ribosomal RNA
Source: RNAcentral
UUGGAGGGCAAGUCUGGUGCCAGCAGCCGCGGUAAUUCCAGCUCCAAUAGCGUAUAUUAAAGUUGUUGCAGUUAAAAAGCUCGUAGUUGAAUUUUGGAUUCGGCCAAUUGGUCCAUCUUUUAGAUGAGUACUGGUUGUGUUGGGUCUAUCCGUCUGGUGAUACGUAAUGUCCUUUAUUGGAUGUUGCGGGUAGUCAGGACCUUUACCUUGAAAAAAUUAGAGUGUUUAAAGCAGGCUUAUGCCGGAAUACAUUAGCAUGGAAUAAUAGAAUAGGACGAAGUUGUUUUAUUUUGUUGGUUUCUAGGACAACCGUAAUGAUUAAUAGGGAUAGUUGGGGGCAUUAGUAUUCAAUUGUCAGAGGUGAAAUUCUUGGAUUUAUUGAAGACUAACUACUGCGAAAGCAUUUGCCAAGGAUGUUUUCAUUAUCAAGAACGAAAGUUAGGGGAUCGAAGACGAUCAGAUACCGUCGUAGUCUUAACCAUAAACUAUGCCGACUAGGGAUCGGGCGAUGUUGUUUCCAUGACUCGCUCGGCACCUUAUGGGAAACCAAAGUGUUUGGGUUC